Molecule: long non-coding RNA, 541 nt
Filed under: Androctonus crassicauda
Lineage: Eukaryota; Metazoa; Arthropoda; Arachnida; Scorpiones; Buthidae
Source: RNAcentral
GGUCAAUUCAUCCAAUAGAAUAACCGAUUUCUGUUUCGUUCAUCCAAUAGCAGUUUACUUUUUUAACCAUCGCUAAUAAUUUGAAAUGUUUGUUUUCUUUUAAAAAUUGCUAAAUUAAUACUUUAUAUUUCAUGGUUAUGUUAUCAAAUAUGAAAUUAAAUCUAUAAUCGCUUAAAAAUUUUAAUUUUUGUACAACGAAUGACGUCAUCGUCCUUUUAGUAUUUAACAGUAAUGGUGGAUAAUACGAUUGUUUAUAAGCGAGGAGAAACACCGUCCAUUCAAGUUAGAAAUUCUGUUUUAAAUGCAUGCAAGUAUUUUGGAAGGCGGAAAUCCGUGAGAAGUAACAUUUUCAACGAAACUUCACUCGAUAUUGGUAUUUCUGUAUCGACAAUUAAAAGAAUUGUAGCCGAAGAAGGAAGCAAAACAGCAGACGAUGACCUGUAAACGGAAAAAAACUCCAGUUAAAUUGUCGACACCUGGAAAGAAAAGGCAUUUUAUUAUUUAUAAAGUAAAGAUUAAUAUAUUUUAAUCUAAUUAAUAU